MicroRNA precursor from Cebus imitator (Panamanian white-faced capuchin), 84 nucleotides. NCBI's taxonomy places the organism in Eukaryota, Metazoa, Chordata, Mammalia, Primates, Cebidae. The record is from Ensembl.
GUAUUCAGGUUGGUGCAAAAGUGAUUGUGGUUUUUGCUAUUAAAAGUAAUGACAAAAACAGCAAUUACUUUUGCACCGACCUAA